CCUCUUCUCCUUAUCCUCUAAUUCCUUCUCUCUCUCUAAGCUAAGAAGAGUUGAAGGAAAUUGAGCUGGCAGCUUUGGAGGCUUGAGGGCUGAAGUGCAAAUCUGAUCCCAGCAGUAAACUUCUGUUGAUUGGAGAUACUACAAGACCUGGAAAGUAUCUAAUCAAGCUUGAUGAAAUUGGGUUCUUUUGCUAUUUUGAGCUGAGAACAACCUGUCAAAGCUUAAAUUAAGGAGUGACAGGACUUGAAGCUUGAUUGAUUUGAGUUGUCGAAUUGAGAAGUUGUUGUUGUUGAAGCUGAGGGCAAUCUAGUAGGAGCUUAAACUAAGGAAUUAAGUGGAAUUGUUGAAACAUCUUGGAGCAACAACUAAUCAAGCUGACAGCUUGAUGAAAUGAUGAUGUUGGUGUUGCCGAAAUGCAGGAAUGGGUCUUUGAUACAGUAAGCAAGCAAUCCAGCAUCUGAUUAAGUGGCCAAAGUGAAGUGAAGACUGGUUAGUGCUGCCGAGUUCAUGAAUUCAGCUGAGAAGGUUUAAAACUUGAGAUUUGAAGUGAUCAAGUUGGUGCUGCCAGGAUCUGAUAUUGGACUAUUUGAAGUAGUAAGCUGAAAUCAAGUUGGUGAAUGGUAUUUGGACAAUGAAUUAGGGCUGCAGCUGGGCUGAAGUGGCUGUUCUUGGUGUUCGAAUUGAGGAGGGGUCUAGUAGAGCUUAAUUGCUGCUGGAAUUUGAAGCAAGUAAUUAAAAGCUGAGCUUGGACUGCAACAGAGAGAGACCAAGUGGAAGCUUCAGCUGAGAGUAACUUGUUAAAGGCAUUUGAUUGAGGUAAAUAACUUCAAUUUUAGUUGAAUAGAUCAAUUUUCAGCUUGAUGCUGAAAUCAAUUACUUGCAUUAGGAGCAUGUAUGCAAGUGUUGCUUGACUUGGGUA
Ananas comosus (pineapple) is the source of this 919-nucleotide long non-coding RNA. RefSeq lists it as uncharacterized. The transcript is spliced from 5 exons. NCBI's taxonomy places the organism in Eukaryota, Viridiplantae, Streptophyta, Magnoliopsida, Poales, Bromeliaceae. The record is from RefSeq and is a predicted model, not a curated record.